AACGAACGCUGGCGGCAUGCCUAACACAUGCAAGUCGAACGAGACCUUCGGGUCUAGUGGCGCACGGGUGCGUAACGCGUGGGAACCUGCCCUUAGGUUCGGAAUAACUCCCCGAAAGGGGUGCUAAUACCGGAUAAUGUCUUCGGACCAAAGAUUUAUCGCCUUUGGAUGGGCCCGCGUUGGAUUAGCUAGUUGGUAGGGUAAAAGCCUACCAAGGCGACGAUCCAUAGCUGGUCUGAGAGGAUGAUCAGCCACACUGGGACUGAGACACGGCCCAGACUCCUACGGGAGGCAGCAGUGGGGAAUAUUGGACAAUGGGCGAAGGCCUGAUCCAGCAAUGCCGCGUGAGUGAUGAAGGCCUUAGGGUUGUAAAGCUCUUUUACCCGGGAUGAUAAUGACAGCACCGGGAGAAUAAGCUCCGGCUAACUCCGUG
RNAcentral lists this ribosomal RNA (433 nucleotides) under uncultured bacterium. RNAcentral's name for it is "partial 16S ribosomal RNA". It matches the Rfam family "Bacterial small subunit ribosomal RNA", at positions 29 to 507 of the family's 1533-position model. The record is from RNAcentral.